Molecule: ribosomal RNA, 468 nt
Filed under: uncultured bacterium
Lineage: Bacteria
Description: partial 16S ribosomal RNA
Rfam family: Bacterial small subunit ribosomal RNA
Source: RNAcentral
GAUGAACGCUGGCGACGUGCUUAACACAUGCAAGUCGAACGGUGAAGGCGGAGCUUGCUCUGCUGGAUCAGUGGCGAACGGGUGAGUAACACGUGAGCAAUCUGCCCCUGACUCUGGGAUAAGCGCUGGAAACGGCGUCUAAUACUGGAUACGAGCUGCGAAGGCAUCUUCAGCAGCUGGAAAGAACUUCGGUCAGGGAUGGGAUCGCGGCCUAUCAGCUUGUUGGUGAGGUAACGGCUCACCAAGGCGUCGACGGGUAGCCGGCCUGAGAGGGUGACCGGCCACACUGGGACUGAGACACGGCCCAGACUCCUACGGGAGGCAGCAGUGGGGAAUAUUGCACAAUGGGCGAAAGCCUGAUGCAGCAACGCCGCGUGGGGGACGACGGCCUUCGGGUUGGAAACCUCUUUUAGCAGGGAAGAAGCGAAAGUGACGGUACCUGCAGAAAAAGCGCCGGCUAACUACGUG